CAGGCCUAACACAUGCAAGUCGAGGGGUAACAGGGGUAGCAAUACCUGCUGACGACCGGCAAACGGGUGCGGAACACGUACGCAACCUUCCCAAAACUGGUGAAUAGCCCUCCGAAAGGAGGAUUAAUACACCGUAACAUAAUGAAGUGGCAUCACUUUAUUAUUAUAGCUCCGGCGGUUUUGGAUGGGCGUGCGCCUGAUUAGGUAGUUGGCGGGGUAACGGCCCACCAAGCCUGCGAUCAGUAACUGGUGUGAGAGCACGACCAGUCACACGGGCACUGAGACACGGGCCCGACUCCUACGGGAGGCAGCAGUAAGGAAUAUUGGUCAAUGGACGCAAGUCUGAACCAGCCAUGCCGCGUGAAGGAUGAAGGCCCUCUGGGUUGUAAACUUCUUUUAUCUGGGACGAAAAAGAUCAUUCUUGAUCACUUGACGGUACCAGAGGAAUAAGCACCGGCUAACUCCGUGCCAGCAGCCGCGGUAAUACGGAGGGUGCAAGCGUUAUCCGGAUUUACUGGGUUUAAAGGGUGCGUAGGUGGGUCUGUAAGUCAGUGGUGAAAUCUUCAAGCUUAACUUGGAAACUGCCAUUGAUACUAUAGGUCUUGAAUUAUCUGGAGGUAAGCGGAAUAUGUCAUGUAGCGGUGAAAUGCUUAGAUAUGACAUAGAACACCAAUUGCGAAGGCAGCUUACUACGGAUCGAUUGACACUGAGGCACGAAAGCGUGGGGAUCAAACAGGAUUAGAUACCCUGGUAAUCCACGCCCUAAACGAUGGAUACUCGACAUACGCGAUAUACUGUGUGUGUCUGAGCGAAAGCAUUAAGUAUCCCACCUGGGAAGUACGAUCGCAAAAUUGAAACUCAAAGGAAUUGACGG
RNAcentral lists this ribosomal RNA (874 nucleotides) under uncultured bacterium. Its description in RNAcentral is "bacterial SSU rRNA". It matches the Rfam family "Bacterial small subunit ribosomal RNA", at positions 43 to 916 of the family's 1533-position model. The record is from RNAcentral.